Long non-coding RNA from Heterocephalus glaber (naked mole-rat), 2083 nucleotides. The record is from Ensembl. Lineage: Eukaryota; Metazoa; Chordata; Mammalia; Rodentia; Bathyergidae.
GAAUUUGUUACUACCGAUUUUCUAGGCUCCUUGCCUCACGAGGCUUAUGCACUGAAAUGAGUUGAUUUUUAGACAUAUCCACACAAUUCUUCAGAGGACUCAGAGCUGUUGGCUCCUUGCUUUGCAUGUACAUUCGUGCAUAUCAUCACACGCGGGCUGUCUUGUUCCCACAUGUGCCAUUAAUUGGCAAGAACGCAGCUCAUAGUUGGCUGAUUAAAAUAGAGGCUGUGCAAAGGAGCAGGAUUAGAGACAGCCCAGGGUUUCCUUUUCAAGAAGGUUUAAAACAUUUUUUUUCUCACUAACUUCCUUCCUGUUCUAACUGCCAGCCUCAGAAGCCAGAGUUGAGAGACAGCGGCACACGACAGAGACGUGAAGAGCUGAAUAAAGACAGCUGAAGAGUCAGAGUGAAGUGCCUGAAAGUCAAACUGUCUACGCUCAUUCAUUCUGCAUCUUGCGUAGCCGUCUUCAUGGACCGUUACAUAACCUGAGCUUCACUGUCCUGACCUGUGAGAGAAAGAUGCUGCCCGCAGAACUCAAUGAAAUAAUCCUCAAAAAAAUAAGUCAUGCUGUAUGUGAUGACUCCUGAAAUUAUUAUCAAGAAUAAAAUUGUUCUUUAGAUGGUGGGAUUGGUUUAAGACAAUCUGUAGAAUUUUCCUAAAAUUCCUAUUCUCACUUCAACAACCACCUAUGAAAUGGAAGGACAAAAAAAGAGAAAUUCGAUCUUGGCAGUUAAAUAUAUACACCUAUUGUUUGGGAAAUCAUGAUCAAACCACACACCGACUAUGUCUGGGUGUUUGGGAGAAUCUGUUUCCCAGAGAUCACUUGUGAAAUUAAAAAUUGCAAUACAACACUUAAUAAUAUUCCACUGCAUGCUGAACUUUCAUUGAAAGAAUAGAUUGAAGCUGUUCCUGCUACAAAAAAAAGUAGACUAUGUGAGGUAGAUAUGUUAAUUUGCCUAAUUACGGUAACCUUUUCACUAUCCAUAUGUCUAUCUACAUAACUAUCAAAAAUCAUGUUUUAUACUUUAAAUCUGCCAAAUAAAUUUUUUGAAAAACUGAUUAUAGAACUAUUGAUUUAUAUAUUCUGGAUAUUAUUGCUAACUAUAUGCAUAGCAAAUACUUCCUUCUUGGAGUCUUGGACGUUACUCUUUCCAUUCAUCACUUGAGUAGGAAAUUUUAAAUUUUUUGUGUGAUUGGAAUAUUCAAUACUUUCUUCUGUCCUGGUUCCUGCCUUUGUAAAACAUAACAGUGGCUAUCUCACAAUAUUGUGAGUAUUCAAUGAAAUAAUAUAUAUGAAGCAUUUACCACACAAUUACACAAUUGCUAAGUUUUGGGCUCAGGAUAAGAGCUCAGUAACCUUUUGCUGUGGUUAUAAUUAUAUCCUUAGUUAUGCAAAGGGCUGCUAGGUAAAAGAAAAAUAAGUAUAUCUGGGAAAAAGUAAAAUUAAAAAUGCAGCAUCUUUUGGGAAUUCAUAUAAGUUUUAAAAUUAUAAAACAGACAGAUAUUCUCUUAGAUACGCUAGUGCGAUAAGGUAACUGAAUUUCUAGUAAUUUAGCUGACACAUGACUGCAGGUCAGGAAAAAUCUGCAGAUAGAGGGCUUAGAAAUUUAAAACAUCUAGAGAUGGUGUGUUGUACUCUCCCUCUCCCAAGAUGAGGAGAAUAUGAUCCACGGUGCUUCAAACAUUUGCUCCAGGAGGUCACAAUCAGAGGGCCAGCAGCAAAACCCAGGAAUGACAGAGCCAGUUUGGGAAAGAAAGAAUCAUCCAAAAUCAAACCGAUUGACCAUGGGAUUCUCUGAAGGGCUUCUCCCUGUGCAUCUUGCCCCUCUGCCACCCAUUCUGGUCAUGAUCCUGGAGACAGAUGUCACCUGACAUUUGCUGCUUCUAUACAUCAAACAGUUGGGUGGACGGAUAUGAUCCGGAGCUUGAGGCUCAGUGGGUCACUGUCCCGGUUGGGCCCCAUCUGGACAAGCUUCCCUUUAACCCUCACCUCUGCUUCAUGUUUCCAGUAGGUUAUAGUUUGAAGAUCAUGUUCCUAAUCUAGAGAUCUUGAAUUCAAAUAAAGUCUGUGAAGGACUUCAGAG